RNAcentral lists this non-coding RNA (24 nucleotides) under Arabidopsis thaliana (thale cress). The record is from RNAcentral. Lineage: Eukaryota; Viridiplantae; Streptophyta; Magnoliopsida; Brassicales; Brassicaceae.
ACAGACAUCGUGAUGGUAAUCUGC